This 253-nucleotide ribosomal RNA is filed under the name uncultured bacterium. Its description in RNAcentral is "partial 16S ribosomal RNA". It matches the Rfam family "Bacterial small subunit ribosomal RNA", at positions 524 to 776 of the family's 1533-position model. The record is from RNAcentral.
UACGUAGGUGGCAAGCGUUGUCCGGAUUUACUGGGCGUAAAGAGCGCGCAGGCGGUCGAUUUAGUCGCGUGUGAAAGCCCCCGGCUCAACUGGGGAGGGUCACGCGAUACUGAUCGACUCGAAGGCAGGAGAGGGUAGUGGAAUUCCCGGUGUAGUGGUGAAAUGCGUAGAGAUCGGGAGGAACAUCUGUGGCGAAGGCGGCCAUCUGGACCAGCACUGACACUGAGGCACGAAAGCGUGGGGAGCAAACAGG